This 253-nucleotide ribosomal RNA is filed under the name uncultured prokaryote. Its description in RNAcentral is "partial 16S ribosomal RNA". It matches the Rfam family "Bacterial small subunit ribosomal RNA", at positions 524 to 776 of the family's 1533-position model. The record is from RNAcentral.
GACAGAGGGGGCAAGCGUUGCUCGGAAUCACUGGGCGUAAAGGGCGCGUAGGCGGGAUGGCAAGUCAGUCGUGAAAUCUCUCGGCUCAACCGAGAAACGUCGGCUGAUACUGCCGUUCUUGAGGGAUGCAGAGGAGACUGGAAUUCCCGGUGUAGCGGUGAAAUGUGUAGAUAUCGAGAGGAACACCUGCGGCGAAGGCGGGUUGCUGGGCUGACACUGACGCUGAUGCGCGAAAGCUAGGGGAGCGAACGGG